This 468-nucleotide ribosomal RNA is filed under the name uncultured diatom. RNAcentral describes it as "SSU rRNA". It matches the Rfam family "Bacterial small subunit ribosomal RNA", at positions 217 to 699 of the family's 1533-position model. Lineage: Eukaryota; Bacillariophyta. The record is from RNAcentral.
GCCUAGAGAGAAGCUUGCGGCUGAUUAGCUUGUUGGUGAGGUAAUGGCUUACCAAGGCGACGAUCAGUAUCUGGUUUGAGAGGACGAUCAGACACACUGGAACUGAGACACGGUCCAGACUCCUACGGGAGGCAGCAGUGGGGAAUUUUCCGCAAUGGGCGAAAGCCUGACGGAGCAAUCUCGCGUGAGGGAUGACUGCCUAUGGGUUGUAAACCUCUUUUUUCAGGGAGGAAUCAAUGACGUGUACCUGAAGAAUAAGCAUCGGCUAACUCCGUGCCAGCAGCCGCGGUAAGACGGAGGAUGCAAGUGUUAUCCGGAAUCACUGGGCGUAAAGCGUCUGUAGGUGGUUUAAUAAGUCAACUGUUAAAUCUUGAAGCUCAACUUCAAAAUCGGAGUCGAAACUAUUAGACUAGAGUAUAGUAGGGGUAAAGGGAAUUUCCAGUGGAGCGGUGAAAUGCGUAGAGAUUG